Molecule: ribosomal RNA, 382 nt
Filed under: uncultured eukaryote
Lineage: Eukaryota
Description: partial 18S ribosomal RNA
Rfam family: Eukaryotic small subunit ribosomal RNA
Source: RNAcentral
CAAUAGCGUAUAUUAAAGUUGUUGCAGUUAAAAGCUCGUAGUUGGAUUUCUGGUGGGAGCGAUCGGUCUGGCGCUUAGCGCGAGUACUUGCAUCGUCUCCGGCCAUCCUUGGGGAGAGUCUGUCUGGCAUUAGGUUGUCGGGCAGAGGAUCCUCAUCGUUUACUGUGAAAAAAUUAGAGUGUUCAAAGCAGGCUUAUGCCGUUGAAUAUAUUAGCAUGGAAUAAUAAGAUAGGACUUUGGUACUAUUUUGUUGGUUUGCGCACCAAAGUAAUGAUUAAUAGGGACAGUUGGGGGUAUUCGUAUUCCGUUGUCAGAGGUGAAAUUCUUGGAUUUACGGAAGACGAACUACUGCGAAAGCAUUUACCAAGGAUGUUUNCAUUAA